AUUGAACGCUGGCGGCAUGCUUUACACAUGCAAGUCGAGCGGCAGCGCGGGGGCAACCCUGGCGGCGAGCGGCGAACGGGUGAGUAAUGCAUCGGAACGUAUCCUCGAGUGGGGGAUAACCCAGCGAAAGUUGGGCUAAUACCGCAUGAGCUCUGAGGAGGAAAGCGGGGGACCUGCGAGGGCCUCGCGCUGGAGGAGCGGCCGAUGUCCGAUUAGCUAGUUGGUGGGGUAAAGGCUUACCAAGGCGACGAUCGGUAGCUGGUCUGAGAGGAUGAUCAGCCACACUGGGACUGAGACACGGCCCAGACUCCUACGGGAGGCAGCAGUGGGGAAUUUUGGACAAUGGGGGCAACCCUGAUCCAGCCAUGCCGCGUGAGUGAAGAAGGCCUUCGGGUUGUAAAGCUCUUUCGGACGGAACGAAAUGGGCGGGACUAAUACUCCUGUCUGAUGACGGUACCGAAAGAAGAAGCACCGGCUAACUACGUG
This 486-nucleotide ribosomal RNA is filed under the name uncultured bacterium. RNAcentral's name for it is "partial 16S ribosomal RNA". It matches the Rfam family "Bacterial small subunit ribosomal RNA", at positions 29 to 507 of the family's 1533-position model. The record is from RNAcentral.